CCUAUGGUAAGCAGCAACAGCGAACCCGCAGAAGUCAGCAGACGCCAUAGUAGCCGAGGCCUUAAAGCUCGUUGGUCUUGGUGAAGGGC
This 89-nucleotide non-coding RNA is filed under the name uncultured Prevotella sp. Lineage: Bacteria; Pseudomonadati; Bacteroidota; Bacteroidia; Bacteroidales; Prevotellaceae. The record is from RNAcentral.